CCCGCUGAACUUAAGCAUAUCAAUAAGCGGAGGAAAAGAAACUAACAAGGAUUCCCCUAGUAACGGCGAGUGAAGCGGGAAGAGCUCAAAUUUAAAAUCUGGCAGUCUUUGGGUGCCCGAAGUGUAAUCUAGAGAAGCGUUUUCCGUGCUGGACUGUGUACAAGUUUCCUGGAUACAGGGACAUCAUAGAGGGUGAGAAUCCCGUCCUUGACACAGACCCCCAGUACUUUUGUGAUGCGCUCUCGACGAGUCGAGUUGUUUGGGAUUGCAGCUCAAAAUGGGAGGUAAAUUCCUUCUAAAGCUAAAUAUUGGCGAGAGACCGAUAGCGAACAAGGACCGUGAGGGAAAGAUGAAAAGCCCUUUGGAAAGAGAGUUAAACCGUUCGUGAAAUUGUUAAAAGGGAAACGCUUGAAGUCAGUCACGUUUGCUGGGACUCAGCCUUACUUUGGUGUGGUGCAUUUCCUUGCAGUCGGGCCAGCGUCCAUGUUGUUUGCCGGAGAAGGGGAGAGAGAAUGUGGCUCCUUUGUGAGUGUUAUAGCUCUAGCUCGUAUGCGGGGACUGAUACGGAGUGGUCCAGCACACUUUGGUGGUGCUUGUGCUGGCAUAAUGGCUGUCAGCGACCCGUCUUGAAACACGG
This 637-nucleotide ribosomal RNA is filed under the name uncultured fungus. Its description in RNAcentral is "eukaryotic LSU rRNA". It matches the Rfam family "Eukaryotic large subunit ribosomal RNA", at positions 24 to 664 of the family's 3401-position model. The record is from RNAcentral. Lineage: Eukaryota; Fungi.